Molecule: ribosomal RNA, 492 nt
Filed under: uncultured bacterium
Lineage: Bacteria
Description: partial 16S ribosomal RNA
Rfam family: Bacterial small subunit ribosomal RNA
Source: RNAcentral
AGUGAACGCUGGCGGUAGGCCUAACACAUGCGAGUCGAACGGCAGCACAGUAAGAGCUUGCUCUUACGGGUGGCGAGUGGCGGACGGGUGAGGAAUACAUCGGAAUCUACUUUUUCGUGGGGGAUAACGUAGGGAAACUUACGCUAAUACCGCAUACGACCUACGGGUGAAAGCAGGGGAUCUUCGGACCUUGCGCGAUUGAAUGAGCCGAUGUCGGAUUAGCUAGUUGGCGGGGUAAAGGCCCACCAAGGCGACGAUCCGUAGCUGGUCUGAGAGGAUGAUCAGCCACACUGGAACUGAGACACGGUCCAGACUCCUAAGGGAGGCAGCAGUGGGGAAUAUUGGACAAUGGGCGCAAGCCUGAUCCAGCCAUACCGCGUGGGUGAAGAAGGCCUUCGGGUUGUAAAGCCCUUUUGUUGGGAAAGAAAAGCAGCAGGUUAAUACCCCGCUGUUCUGACGGUACCCAAAGAAUAAGCACCGGCUAACUUCGUG